RNAcentral lists this transfer RNA (73 nucleotides) under Diaphorina citri (Asian citrus psyllid). It matches the Rfam family "tRNA". Rfam says of the family: Transfer RNA (tRNA) molecules are approximately 80 nucleotides in length. Their secondary structure includes four short double-helical elements and three loops (D, anti-codon, and T loops). Further hydrogen bonds mediate the characteristic L-shaped molecular structure. tRNAs have two regions of fundamental functional importance: the anti-codon, which is responsible for specific mRNA codon recognition, and the 3' end, to which the tRNAs corresponding amino acid is attached (by aminoacyl-tRNA synthetases). tRNAs cope with the degeneracy of the genetic code in two manners: having more than one tRNA (with a specific anti-codon) for a particular amino acid; and 'wobble' base-pairing, i.e. permitting non-standard base-pairing at the 3rd anti-codon position. Lineage: Eukaryota; Metazoa; Arthropoda; Insecta; Hemiptera; Psyllidae. The record is from Rfam by way of RNAcentral.
GCCUAGUUAGCUUAGUUGGUAGUGCGUCUGCCUUAUAAGCGCUAGGCCGCGGGUUCGAUUCACGCCCGGGGCG